AGAAUCAACGCUGGCGGCGUGCCUAACACAUGCAAGUCGAACGGAGAAGUGGAGCAAUCCAUGAGUAAAGUGGCGCACGGGUGAGUAACACGUGACUAACCUACCCUUGAGUGGGGAAUAACCUAGGGAAACCUGGGCUAAUACCGCAUAACACCUACGGGUCAAAGGAGCAAUUCGCUUAAGGAGGGGUCGCGGCAGAUUAGCUAGUUGGCGGGGUAAUGGCCCACCAAGGCAGUGAUCUGUA
This 244-nucleotide ribosomal RNA is filed under the name uncultured bacterium. Its description in RNAcentral is "partial small subunit ribosomal RNA". It matches the Rfam family "Bacterial small subunit ribosomal RNA", at positions 26 to 285 of the family's 1533-position model. The record is from RNAcentral.